AAAAGCUUACUUUAGAGGUUGUAGAAAAAUUUCUGCAGAAAUGACAAUUGACGUAAGUUCAUUACAUGUUCUUGUAAAUGCCUCGUCUUUGUUAAACUCUUUCAAGCAGUUUAAAUUGUUAACAAGACUGAAGGGAUUUGAAAUGGAGAGUAACAUAAAUUGUAACUAUUUUCCAUACUUUUCGAUUACAAUCAGCUAAUAUUCAUAUUAAAUUAGGACAACCCAAAUGGCUGUCAACAAAAUCUGCAUACGACGAUGCGUUAACCAAGUUAACCAGGAAUAAAUUGAACAACAUCAGCAUACAUUACCUGUAGUCCAGCUUAUAAGUAACAAACAGGCAAAACACAUACAAUCCUAGAAGAAAACAUUGUUUUGAACAAGGCAAUGCCAAAUGUAGACGCGUUUAGUUACUUAUUCAUCCAAAUUUAUACGCGACCCAUUGAUCAUCACUAUAGGACAUCACAGUGGCACCGUCAGGGAUUGCCCUGUUUGUGCUGCGCGGAUAAACCACAUUCGUCCUAUGUUUGCCUUCAACCGACUGCUUAACGGAUUCAAUGGCAAUUGAAUGUUCAGCAGGUAUAGAAAGUGAAGAUGCCCCGUGAAAUGAGGAAUUAUGAGUCGAUGAACCUGUCAUAUCAGCAUUCACAUUCUCAGAUGAAGUCUUUUGUCUUUUAGCAAUUAUCUUGCCUUCUGGAGAUUAAGAAAAACUGAAGUCAUUGAUAAAUUGUCUAAAAUGAGAGGUAAAAAGCUAAAUAACUAAUGAAAUGAACAUGCAAAUGUACAUCACUGGAUAGGUAAGCCAAAAAAAAAAAAAAAAAAAAUUCUUAAUCACAAGGCCUUAAAAUAAAAAUUAUCGGUCCGUUUGAUUUGUGUUUCAAUUUUCAAUUUUGAGUUCAUUUUCUAUUUUCUAUUUUGAUUGCCUGUUUUAAGAUUGCUUAAAACACGAUUGAUUUAUUAUUUCAAAAAAAUAUUUUUCAAAGCGGAAAGAUAAAAAAAUUGAUUUGAAAUUUUGUAAAAUUAUUUUAUGAUAUUUUAUUUCACGAAAUUUGAUUAUUCAUGAAAAUAGAACAAUUUUAUGUUAAUAUAUUAUCAAAUAAUACAUACAUUUUAAGGUUAGUAAACCUUAAAGUAGGUUUAUGCUGCUUAUACAGAUUCAUUUUGUCAGAUUGGUAUCAGAUUCAUACUUGACAAUUUAUGAUUGAAUGGUUGAAAAAUAUUUUUUACACAAUUGCCAAAUUUCUCCAGCCAAGUAUGAAUCUAGCACCAUUAUAACAAAAUAAAUAUGUUCAUAUAGCAUAUCUCCUUAAAAUAUCGUUUCUCACUACAAAAUAAAAUAAAAUAAAGAAGUAAUAUAUUGAGUUAAAAAUAUUGAAAAUAAAAACAAAAAUUAAUGGACUAAAAAUAUUUUUAUUUGUGCUCAUUUAAACAUUUUUCUAGAAUUUUUGUGUAAACAAUCUAUAAGAACUUCGACUAUUUUUAUUUUUUACUUUUCUAGAAAUUUUUAGAAUUUUUUUUUUUAUAUCUUUUAGAAUUUUAAUUUUUUUAGAAUUAUUGUUUUUUCAGAAUUUCUGUUCAACAUUUUUUUUUUGGAAAAAUUUAUCAAUUUUAUUUUUUGAGUUCAAUUUUUUUUAAAAAAAAUAAAAUUAAAACUUCAUUAAUUUUCAUUUUUUAAAUGCUUUUUAAAUUUUGAGGGUUUUCAUAAUUUUCAUUGAAAACACUCAAAACGUCACAAAUGCGUUUUGAGUUUAUAUUAUAAGCUUAACAUUAUUUUCAAAAAUACAUUUUUAGAAAUAUCAUAUCAAAUACAUUUUGAUAGCAAACCAACGCCCCUUUAGUAGUUAUGUACAUAUAUAACAUAGUUCAUGCUUAUAAGCCCUGUAAUCCAUUGUUGCUGAUUAACCAUUCCGGUGACAACCGGAAUGAGAUCCGGAUCCAGUCCACUUUGAUCCGCAUCGAUAGCAAAAUUCGUAUUUGCACCUGCACGUGAUGUGUAUACAACCAUCACAUUAAGCCAUGAGCUAAAUUAUAUACAGGUAACAUUUCUACAUAUAAAGAACAAAUAAAAGAAGGGGAUGAGGGAGACUGCACAAGAAAUAAAAGCUCUAGAGCAGAUAUAACUUGACUAGCUUCUGCACAAGGGAAAGGACUUGAGAUACAAGGAGGUAAACACAAUAAGUUUUCAGAAAUAUCAGGACAGCCAAUGCAUCAACAUUAAGCCAUGAGCUAAAUUAUAUACAGGUAACAUUUCUACAUAUAAAGAACAAAUAAAAGAAGGGGAUGAGGGAGACUGCACAAGAAAUAAAAGCUCUAGAGCAGAUAUAACUUGACUAGCUUCUGCACAAGGGAAAGGACUUGAGAUACAAGGAGGUAAACACAAUAAGUUUUCAGAAAUAUCAGGACAGGAAUUGAUAGAAAGAAGGUAAAGAAUUAGAGACUUCGGAAAAUAAUUUUCUUUUUCAACGCAUUAACAGCCUUCUCACGUCAGUUUAUAUACAUACAAGAGGAAGAAAAUUUGGAAAAACUAAUCUCCUAAAUUAGGAAACAAAUUAGCCUACAAAAUAACAAAAAUAUGUAAUCCCUAAUUAAUUACAAUUAUUAGAACUGGGUUUCUUUCCUUUUUCUUCUCUUGAUCGUUUUCUACACUCCCCCUCAAGUUGAACAGUAAAUGUUGACCAUGUUCACCUUACUAAUGAAAUCAUCAAAUACUUGUCGAGAUAGUCCUUUUGUGAAUAUGUCAGUUGUUUGUUUCUUUGUAGGAAUAUAUGUUAUGCAAAUAAUAUUAUUGUCCACUUUUUCUUUGAUGAAGUGUCAGUCUACUUCUAUAUAUUUGCUCCUUUCAUGUUGCACAUGAUUGAGAGAAAUGUUGAUGCCUGCUUUAUUAUAACAAUAGAGUUUGAUCGGGAAAUCCAUUCUGACUUUCAAUUCUUCCAAGAGUUUCUUUAUCCAUAAGCUUUCACAAAUUCCUUGUACAACAGCUCUAAAUUCAGCUUCAACGCUGCUCCUAGCUACCACAUUUUGUUUCUUACUUCUCCAAGUUGUCAAAUUUCCCCAUACAAAGGUGUAGGAGCCUGUGGUUGAUCUUCUAUCUUCAGUUGAUCCAGCCCAAUCUGCAUCUGUGAACAUUUCUACUCCUUUCCUCUCAUUUUAUUCGAAGAAUAGUCCUCUUUCAGUAGUCCCUUUUAGGUAUCUGAGAAUUUUAUAUGCUGCUUCUUGGUAAGCCUCCCAAGGGAAGUGCAUGUGUUGACUAACCAAGCUGACGGCGAAAGCGAUGUCAAGUCGAAUGUGUGAGAGGUAGAUUAACUUUCCAACUAGUCUUUGGUAUUUGUCUAUAUCCACAGGGUUUCCUGUGUCUCUUGUUGCUUUUCCUGCCUCGAUAGGUGUAUCGCUAGGUUUGCAUCCUAACAUACCAGUUUCCAUCAACAGAUCAAGGAUAUAUUUUCUUUGGGAAACACAAAUACCCUUCCUUGAUCUAGCAACCUCCAUCCCCAAGAAGUACUGCAAUUGCCCAAGAUCUUUCACUUCAAAUUCCGUUGCUAAACAUUUUUUCAAUCUUUCCAUCUCAGCUAUAUUAUCUCCUGUUAGGAUGAUAUCAUCCACAUAUACAAUUAGAAUAGUUAUUGUCCCGUCUGUGGAUCAUCUGAAGAACAUGGUGUGAUUUGACUAUCCUUGCUGAUAUCCUUGACUUCUUAGAACCUUUGCAAAUCUAUCAAAUCAUGCUCUAGGUGACUACUUGAGCCCAUACAAAGAUUUCUUGAGUCUACACACUCGAUUUUCCUCGUUAGAUUUAUUGAAGCUUGGUGGUAUUGUCAUGAAUACUUCUUCUUCCAAUUCUCCAUUAAGGAAGGCGUUCUUGAUAUCCAGCUAUUGAAGGGCCAGUCUAGAUUUAUUAGCAAGUGAUAAGAGGACUCUAACUGUAUUUAAUUUUUUCACUGGUGCAAAUGUUUUUUUAUAGUCAAUGCCAUAUAUUUGUGUAUAUCCUUUGACAACUAAAGGAGCGUUGUAACGUUCUACUGUCCCGUCGGCCUUGUACUUUACAUUAAAGACCCAUUAUAAUAUAUGAAUUUUGAAAUAGGAUUAAAGUACACGAUCGAGUUGGUUUUCUCAGAGCAAUAGGUAGAUCAUCAUUAUUUUGAGGUUGAGAAUCAUCAGAGGACUUCUCAUCAGUUCCCAACAUCGGUUCAGACUUUCUUGGUGCCUCAGGUGUGAGAGUUACCUUGUAUUUUGAUAUAGGCUUCCUUGAAUAAACCAGUAUUUCCUUAUCACUUUGUUCUCCUUCAUCUCCCCCUAAAUUCAAGUUUCCUUCUAUGUAUGGCACUUUAGAGGGUGACUGAAUGAGUAUAUGGGAUAUCAAAGAGAUCAAGGUCAAAGUUUAAGAACUCCAAAUUUGAGACCUAAUCUUCUUUUCAAUUCUCUCCCUGAAGAUGAGGUCGUGGAAAAUAAGGUGUUUAUUCUAAGAAUGUGACAUCAAGGCUAACGAGGACCCUUUUUUUGGAUAGGUCAUAGCAUUUGUAGCCCUUUUGAGUAGGGGAGUACCCGAUAAACACGCAUUUGAUUGCACAUGGUUCCAAUUUAUUUUGAUAAGGGGAGUGAAUGUGUACAAAUGUAGUGUUGCCGAACACUUUUAGUAGUGGGUUUGAAGAAAUACGAGUAGGAAGCAUUCUUUGAGUCUUUGUAGGGGUUACUCGAAGGAAAGAGUUCGACUUGGCAAUCUGUUGAUGAGAUAUGUAGAUGUGAGAAUCGCAUCUCCCCAGAAUGUUCUUGGCAUAUUUGUAGUGAACAUCAAGACACGAACAACUUCUAGAAUGUGUCUAUUUUUUCGUUCAACAAUACCGUUUUGUUGGGGAGUGUUGACACAUGAACUUCGGUGAAUUAUCCCAUGUUUUUUUAGAUAAUCUUGUAAAGUGGUAUUGAAGUAUUUUGUGCCAUUGUCAGUUCGAAAAAUUUGGAGUUGUGUUUGAAUCAUGGGAUGGAAAUUUAUAAAAACUGAUCGAACCUCGAUUUUUUCCUUAAGUAGAUAGACCCAACAUACUCAAUGUGUCUAUUUUUUCGUUCAACAAUACCGUUUUGUUGGGGAGUGUUGACACAUGAACUUCGGUGAAUUAUCCCAUGUUUUUUUAGAUAAUCUUGUAAAGUGGUAUUGAAGUAUUUUGUGCCAUUGUCAGUUCGAAAAAUUUGGAGUUGUGUUUGAAUCAUGGGAUGGAAAUUUAUAAAAACUGAUCGAACCUCGAUUUUUUCCUUAAGUAGAUAGACCCAACAUACUCAAGUGUGAUCGUCAAUAAACGUGACAAACCACAUUGUUUGGGUACGAUUUGGAUUGUGAGAAGGUCCCCAUAGGUUACUGUGAAUUAAGGUAAAUGGCUUAGAUGGGUUAUACGUGAAUUUUGGAAAGAUUGUAUGUUGGUGCUUUGCAAAUCCACAAUUUUCACACUGAAACUCAAUAGAUUUUUUAUUCAUAAAAAUUGAAGGAAAAACAUGCUUGCACACUAGGAUGACCCAUUCUAUUAUGCCAUAAUAAAAUUUCACUAUCACUAGGGGAAGAUGCAGAAUUACAACUUGAGAGGUAACUAGGUUUACUCACGUCAACUUCCUCAAAAUAGUAUAGACCUUCACAUUCUUUAGCACUAUCAAUCGUCUUCUUCGAUGAAAGGUCUUGAAAAAUACAACAUGACGGAAGAAAAAUAGCAGAGCAAUUAGAGUUUUUUGUCAAUUGACUAACAGAUAACAAGUUACAAGACAUGUUUGGAACAUGAAGAACAAAAUCUAGUGUUAUAGUCUCAGAAAUACAAAAACUUCCUUUUCCUGCAACAGGUGAUAGUGAGCCAUCUACAAUUUGGACGCUAAUGUUCCCAAGACAAGUGGAGUAUGAAGAAAAGAGGUGAUAUGCAUCCGUCAUGUGAUCGGAUGCACCAGAGUCUAUAAUCCACGCAUUUUUACACCGUGAAGUGUUUAGAGCUCUGAGGAGGUUACCUUUGUGGGCUAAUGAACUAGAAUGACCUUUAGGAGACGGUUGACCAGAUGUUUGGAAGCUCGCAACCAAUUGAUAAAUUUGCUCAAGUUGUUCGAAAUUGAAUCCACCACUUAAAGUUAGGUUACUUUUAGUUUUUGCUUGAUACCCACGGUUCCUACUGUUUUGCUUCGGUUUCCAGUCAUUGGGCUUCCUCUUAAUUUCCCAACAUGUGUCUAUUUUACGACCCGGCUUACAACAAUGCUCACACCAAGGCCUUUCUCGUUUUUAUGCUGGCCCAUUUAUUCCUCCUUUUGAAAGACCCAAAGCUCCAGAGGCGCAAUUAGUGUUUUCAGUCUCUGGCCCAAGUGUUGGCCCAUUAACUUUACCUCGUCCAAGAAGCCCAUGCUCUUUAGUGUUCUCCAAUCCAUUCUUCUUCUUCCCUGCCAAGGCCAAAAUUUCUACUCCAGCGACUUCUUUCAACAUCACAUGCCGACAAGCUUCUUCCCGACCACCUCCGCGAAGACCUCGCGGAUCGAUGGUAGCGGGUUUCUCCCUAAUAUUCGGCCUCUAACCUCAUCCAACUCCCGAUUCAGCCAUGCAAGAAAUUCGAAUACUCUCUCAUUUUCCUCCUACUUCUUGUACAAGGCGACGUCUUCCUUGCACUUCCACUCCUCUUCGCUACUCAGAUCGAGGUCCUGCCACAGGGAGGUCAUCUCCAUGAAAUAUUCGGUAACAACCCGUGUCCCCUGUUUCAUCUGCCAUAGACGAGUCUUGAGUUCGAAAACUUGUGCAGUGUUCCCGACGUCUAAAUAAGUUUCCUUCACGGCAUUCCAGACAUCUUUUGCCAAUGGGAGGAAGAGAUAGGCUUUCCCUAUCAACAGCUUCAUGGAGUUUACAAGCCAAGCGGUUACCAUUGAAUUUUCAGAAUUCCACCGUUGCAGUUGAGCAGGAUCAACUAGCUUCUGUCUCAUAGGUGAGAUAUCAAAGCUUCCCUUUUCCAUCAGUUAUUAAUUUAAUUGACAGAGCCCAUUCUCGAAAGUUUAUUCCAUUCAAUUUCUCGAUUGUAUGUUGGAAUGAUGAAGUUUCAGUUGUAUUGGAACCAAUGGGGGAGUGGACCUCUGCUUAGGGGUCGAAGAUGAUAGAUCCGAUACUGUUGGCGGGGAAUUCCGCUAUUGAUUGCUAGGUUUGAGCAACCUAGGCUAUGAUACCAUAAAGAAUUAGAGACUUGAGAAAAUAAUUUUCUUUUUCAAUGCAUUAACAGCCUUCUCGCGUCAGUUUAUAUACACACAAGAGGAAGAAAAUUUGGAAAAACUAAUCUCCUAAAUUAGGAAACAAAUUAGCCUACAAAAUAACAAAAAUAUGUAAUCCCUAAUUAAUUACAAUAACUGGGUUUCUUUCCUUUCUCUUCUCUUGAUCGUUUUCUACAGAAAGAUGUAAACUUGACAAGGUAAGGGAAAACUCCUUAGAAAUUGGAGAUAAUAAAGAUACUAUGAGAAGAAAAGAAAAAUUAAAUAAUUAUGAGGCGUGUGUGAAUACAUUAAAAUGGACAAGCAAUGCAGAUAUAUCCAAGCUCCCUUAAAACUGAAUCUUAUUCACGUAUUUAAUUAAUUCAGUCAACUUUUUGGUAGAUUAUAGUCACAUAUUACAUGCAUUAAUAGAUUGAAUUAAGGCAGUGCACCAGCUUUGAAACCGUAAAUUUGAGGAUCCAAAACAGAUUCACAGGCAAUCCACAGAAAGUGGAGGAAUUGCAUUGACAAGCCGUCUAAUGAAAAGACAGUGUUUGGAUAUUGGGGGCCUGUCAAACUCCACUGUAGAUAGGAAUGUUAAUUACACUAGAAGAUUUCAAGCUUAAGAAGUGAACGAAGCAAAGAAGACGAUGCAGAUAAGAAAUGCAAUUGGAUGGGAUGGAAUCCCUAUAAUUAUGGAAAUGCUUGGGCAGAGUUGGUAUUAUAUUUGACAAAAUUAACUAAUGAGAUCAAGAAUAGUAAAAAGAUGCCCAAUGAGUCGAGAAAAGUACAUGCUUGAGCUCCAAUAGAAAGGGGCCUACCUCACUUAUUGACUUGAGCUGUUCUACCUCAAUUGUUGACAUGAGUUGUUAGUGGAGAACAGAGGCAUUGUUGAGCAUGAAUUGGAUAAAAAUAAAAGAAAGCACGAAAAGAAGACAUGAGAUAAGAAAUCCAUUUAUCAAUGGGAAGAACUAAAUGUGCUCCAUGUCUUACAAUGUUCAAGCAAUAUCUAAUACAAAUUCGACCCUUGUUGAUCAGAGUUAUGGGAUUUCGGUAGUGCAAGUUGGAAGAGGGGAGGAUAGACCAAAACUAAUUUGGUUGUGAUAGUUAUUAAGGAUUUAGUUGCCUCAAUUCUCCCAAUAGAGAUAGCAAAUAAAACAAAAUGACCAAAAGUAAUUCAUGUAGACAACCCAGAAUCUAUUCAAAAUAAAGCAUAGUUUGUAGUUGUAUCGGAAACUGUUAAAAUAUUGAAUAUCAAUUAUUAGAAUUCCCAACUCUAAAUGUAUUAUUCAUAAUCAAUGUGUUCAAAGUCCAGUUCAAACACUGAAUAUAUCUAUGUAGUAGGCACAUACAUCACUUAUGUAUUUGCAAAACAAAUUAAUAUCACUUGCCUUUAAGAAACUUCAAUGUGAAAUAAGGAAUGGUAACAAAUGAAACCUAUAAAUACGAUUCAUAACAAGUAUGCGCACAAUUUAACGAAUUCGAUCUGAGAAACAAUAAUUAGUGACUACAUUUAUCAUUCAUAACCAAUAAGCUCAUAGUCAACUUACCAAAAUAAGUUUCUUAACGUAUUGUGCACAUUCUCUAACCAAUAUCAGUAUCAGAAAGAAAUCCAAUACCAGUAACCCAAAAUUAAUUUCAACAAUAUGACCAGCAGAAACUCCUUGUCAUAGCAUGUGUUUUCAUGUGUCAUGCACACUCUUCUACCAAGUUUUCGCACUCAAAUGACGCAUAAGCACACACUUCUGAGCAGCAAAUUUCAAAGAUAGUUCACCAAUUCAAACCUUCAUUACAAACACUAUGAAUGCCUAUGCAGGUGCAAAUUAUUAGGGGAAGAGUGCCACCCCACCCCCCAAACAAAUAAAUAAAUAAAUGUUUCUUCAUAGUGCAAAUCAACUCCACUCCCAAAACAGGUUAUCUGGAAGAUAUGCAAUAGUUAACCAGGAAGUCGUAACUGUUGUAAUAUGCCUUUCUAAUUCAACGAUUUCAACUCAGGGAAGUUUCUGUUUAAAAGAUUGUAGCACUGCAUAAUAUUUUCUUUCCACUCCUGAUUUUCAACUUUUUAGCUAAGAAUCAUAAAAGACAUCAUGUUAACAUAAAAGGUGGCGAAGAAUGUGAUUAAUAGGGGACAGUAUAUUCAACAUGAACUUUUUGGGUAAAUUAGAAGAGAAGUUAUAACAGAAAAUACUUUUAAUUAACAGAGAAGUUCUAUAUCAAUUUCUAAUCAUUUAACUAACCAAGAAUACGAAAACUUUACAUCUUUAUCCAUGUCAACAUAUCCCAAAACACCAAGUUAUAAAGCACAUUAGCUAAGGCAUCAUAUCGAGUAAAACUUAUUUACUUAUCACCUUUAUUGUUUAGUCUUCCCUCCCAUCAGGUCUAAAUGUAUCAAGUUUUUGCACAUUGAAUUUAUACAAAGAUAAAUAUUGCGUUCCUCAAUGUCUAGAUGGGUAGCAUGCAAUAGCUAGAUGACUGACAAGGUGGGUAAAACUAUAGGUAUGCUAAGGGCCAAAGGCACAAACAACCACUUCAGAGAAAUGUGAUCCCAGAACAAAUAGACAAAUGAGAUUCAGUGCAACACAAAAAUUACGGGUAUAAAAUUGAGUGGAACCAAGGAAAAUUCUUAAAUUGCAGAAAAAAGAAGAUUGUAAAAGUAUAUAUUUCAGGACACUUGUUGUAAAAACAAGAAAAUCCAAUAAACUUUUAGGAAGUCUACUUAAAGAACACAGAACUCCCAAAAGAAUUUUUUUUUCAGUGUGUUAUGUACAUGACUGAACUGUACAUUGAGUUCACAUUCGUUAACAUGGAUUUUAAUUUUUUUUUUAGUUUACUGAGGAGUCACAGCUCCAAAGUGUGUACAUACAUACAUACAUACAUAUAUCUUUGCUAUCAUAGAAUUCAAAUUAGAUUAGAAACCAUUGCCUAUGUUGCCAUGGUGAGAAAAUGUAGAUGCAACAAUUUCCAUUCAAUUUAACAAGAUAAAGCUUAACUAUCAAAAAGCAUGUGAAGCACUGAAAGGGUAAUCAGCUAGAAGCCUUUUUCAUCACGUCACUUACGCAAGGUAGCCACUCAUAUUGUUAUACACAAGAUAACGGAAUAAUUGAAGCAGUUGUUUUGAGAGACUAGAACAAACUCAAGCCCAAUAAAAAAUUAGUUUCUUACUCUUAGUAAGAGCAAUGUAAGCCACUUCAGCAGCAUUCAUCUCUGCCUGCUUUUUAGUUUUGGCUUUAGUUCCUUGGAAAGUGUCACUUCCUACCUCCACAACUGACACAAAUACAGGCUUGCGAGGAGGACCUGCUGGGGACGUCUCAUAUAUCGGAUACUUGAGACCUCUUUUUUGGGCCAUUGCUUGUAGAAGAUUUUUGUACAAACCUUUAUCCUGAGGUAAUUAAAAUGCAUAAACGUGAUACAGCAAUAAGAAGGCAAUAAUCAUAACAACAGAAUUAACUGGUUUGAAUACUGGCCUCCUGAAUUUCAACAACAGACAAUGCUUCACAAGCAACUUUGGCUGCUGCAUGUUCAGCGUCUUUUAUCGUGGGAAAAAAUGCUGGUGCUUCAUAUAUUUUUCCAUCUAAUGUGACACUUGACUUAUAGCGGCAAGCGUGAGGAGGGCCUUCGAAUUCACAAGUAUACACAGGCAGACUAAGACCUCUCUUCUGAGCAUAUUGUUGCAAUCGGUUUUUAUAUAUGUGCAACACAUCUGUAACACAAAGAAGAUCAGCAUAUAUGUGCAACACAGCUAUAACAUAAAGAAGAACAGCAGGCGAUAAUGAUCGAGAAAACGACUAUUAUAGUCAUUUAUAAGAUUAUGACUUAUAGUAGUUGGAAACAUAAAUUAUAGCCCAAGAGAAUUACUACAAUCACAUUGCAUGUCCUGUAUCUUGGUUAUACUUUAGUUUUCCCCUGAUUCCAAAUUAUUGCUCCAAAGUUCUAGCUUAUGACCUAGCCCUUUGCUAGUCUCAUCAACUAAACUAUGCCAUUGGCAAACAUAGAUCAAAGAACCUCUUACUAAAAUGUAACAUUGCUCAUGACUAAAUUGAAUAUAUAAGGAUUUAAAGCAGAACUUUGACACGAAUCUAUAGUGAUAGGAAAUUUUCUACUACUACCACCAUAUAUCUCACUCUUGUACCUGCUCUAUCAUGCAUAGAUUUAAGAACAUGGAUCAUCUAUUACAAAUUCAUUCCAUGUGACACCCACCAUGGACCAUCCCUUGACACACUAUCAUAAACAUUUUUCCUAUCCGUAAAAAUUACAUGCAGUUUCAUUCUGCUAUACUUCUCCAUCAAUCUCCUAAGCAUGAAACUGGCUUCCAUUGUAGAUCUUUCCCAUUUAAAGCCAAAUUUAUUCUUUAAUACCUUUCAAUUACACCUUUAUUUGUAAUCAAUCAUCACACUAAUAAUUUCAUAGCAUGGCUCAUGAGUCAUGAGCUUAAUAGCUCUGAAUUUGUACAAUCUAGAAUAUCUCCUUCGUUCUUAUAAAUAGGCAUAUAACACACUUCCUCCAUUUAUGCAACAUUUUUUACUCUAAGACCUAAUUGUAACAAUUCUGCAACCAUUCAAUAACCAGCUUGUUCAUUAUUGUUUAAGCAUGACUUGGUAUUGUCGCUUUAAUCAUUUAAAUAAUUCGCACAGUGAUUUUUUAAUUAAGAAUGAGUUAUGGACCUUCUCAUUUCUUGGUUCAUUUUCGCAUCAAAUGUAUGAUAUAUAUGAUGUAUCUAUAACAAAAUUUGGCAUUUGUUCAUGCCAGAGCUUUAUACAGGACAUCUUGUUUCUUGCUUCUUAAACUUUACCUAUCAUCUCCAUUAUCCAACAUGACCACCAAACCUUAUUAGUUUGUCAUAAAGUUGUCAUUCCAUGUCAUCUAACAAGGAUAAUGGCCCAGUAUAUAUAUUGAAAUGUCAACCAUAAAUUUUUCACCAAAAGAACUCAGAUGUUGCUCACAAAACAAAACAUUUAGCCCCCAUUUGGCCCCCAUUAAUUUUGAUUAUAAUAGGGGGAAUAGUUUUUUUUUUUUUUUUUUUUUUUUUUUUGAAAAAUGGAUAGUUGUAAAAAAAUGAAAAGUUUUCGACUUACCUAUAAUAUUAUUUUAUUGAAAAUUGUGUGACUGAGAAUAGGAAAGAGAAAAUUUUAAUUUAAUGAGAUUUAAUGGGAGCCAAACGGGGGCUUAGUUAAGAAAAUCCAGAAAUUUGACAGUUAUGAGAUUUUAAAUAAGGAGUUAACCAAAUGAAGUAAGGAAAAAAAUUAUUUUUUCUAACCCUUAGAAAUCUUAUCAUUGGAAAGUAUCACACUUGUAUUACUAUUAACCAUAGAAAUCUGUGCAUUAUCUUGAGAGUUCAUCUGCAUUAUCUCUUUGUUGGCAGGUUGGAUAUCCAAAUUAGUCGUAGAAAUCUGAGCAUUAUCUUCAUAGUUUGACUGCAUUAUCUCUUUAUUAGCAGGUUGGACAUCCAACUUCGUUUUCGCUGUAAGAAAUCCUGCACAAACAAUGUAAGAAUUUCAUAAAAUUUCCAAAUCCAAUCAUGAAAUGUCACAUACAUUUAUCUAUUGUUUAUCCUACUGAAACAAUGGUGCACAUAAAUGAAUAGCUACCAGAAAAACAUAACAACAAAAGCAAAAACUAAUUAUUUGAGUCGUGAUAAAAAAAUGAGUGUAAUUAAGCUCACACCAAUAAUAUAAAAAUCGGGCAGAGCACGCUAUUCAGCAAUUUGCUUCAGAAUUUAGUUUAAGAAUUAUCAAAAACAAGCCCACUUCUCAGCACUUGAAUUAAACAAUUAUGGAAACCCUUUUCACUUUUUUAUUUCUUUUUAUUUGUGGAGAAAGAGGCCCUAGAUGAUGACAAGUGAUGAACUUUAAAUUCAUCUUUAGAAGUAACACUAAGCCCCUGUUUGACAAGGAAUUGAGUUUUGGGAUAGUAUUUUUUUUUAGAGAAUGUGUUGUUAAAAAGUAGGAAAAAGUUUUGGGUUUAAGUGCAAAAUAUUUUAUUGUGAGAAUAUAUGGUUGAAAAUGAGUUUGAGAAAAAAGAGUUGUUUUAAUGGUUAUCAAACAGGGGAUAAAUGUUUCUCCAGGUAGAAUAGAAAUUUUGAUUAAUAAUCGAGGAUCUAACUUCAACGAGUGACAAAACUAAAGAUCCCACAUCCAAUUUAAACUAAUAAGCUUGCAAACAGGGGUACAGGAAAUGGAGGCCAAGGGUAUCCACUGCCGCGAGUCCCCAUAAUCUCCCUCUAUCAUGCUAAGAUAAUGCACCUAAAAAAUAUGCAAAUUAUGCCUUGAAAACAAAUCCAUGCACGAAGUACAAAUACUCAUGAGGUCAUGGAGAGAAGUUCUUACUGACUAAUGUUUAUAAAUGCUCAAACAAGGACCGUGGCAUAAGCAACCUCCAAGCGUUUUGAGGCGUAAACCUCCACUCAGACCAAUAAAAGAAUUCCAAAAAAUAUAUAACUACAAAAAUAUGCUCAUGAUAAACUAUAAACCAUCAUGAAAAUCCACAAUUAAACAAUUUACCAAAAUUAAAAGUCUAACUUGCGAACAAAAAUAAGAUAGAUCAAAUAGUAAUCAGGUAACAAACUUGUACUACUGACUACUAGAAGAAAAAUCCUAUAAGUCUUCCAUAUAAUCACUUGGGAGAGAGUUUAUAACUUAGGUGUAGGAGGUUGGCACACUUGCCUUCUGCUCACUUUUGCAAUUUUUUUAAAGUUUUUAGGGUUGGGUUGGGUUAAAAGCAGCCCACAAAAUCCUUUAAAAUGUUCUAGGCUAUAAAAAAAUCCAACUCAAAAGUGUGGCCAAAAAUAAAAGACAAAACAAAAGAUAAAUGAGCGAGAGGCCUACACCUCGAGGCCUGUAUCUAAGUAAGUCGAGGUACAAACCUUCCAAAUGGCACUCGAGGCGUAAGCUACAAGCACAUGACAUAAGCCUUAGAUGAGAUGAGCCUCAAAGGGUAAAAGCUUGGGCACUUUUUAAAACAAUUAUCAAAACUACCCAACUUUCACGCUAAGAUCUAUUCAAUUUUCACCAAGAGUCAACAAUUCGGGCUACUUGGUGAAAAGCUAAUGCCAAUAUCAAUAUUUACCAGGAUCAUCGACGGUUCAACAUACUUCGGAUCAAAAUGAUCUCCAACAUAACACUAGGACUUAUCCAAGUUUUCAACAAGAUCAUCAAUAUCCUGGGGUAGUCAUGAUCAAAAUGAUCCCCAAACUUCACACUAUAGUUGAUCAGGGUUUUCACCGUGAUUACCAAUUAUGCAAGCUAAUCAAUAUGAACUCCAACUUCAAACUAGGUUCAAACCAACAGCAAACCAAGUACUUAAGAUAAAAACAUCUCCAAAUUCAUGCUAGGGCUAAUCCAGGUUUUCACCAAGAUCAUCUACAACCCAAGUUACUCAGGAUCAAAAUGGUCUACACCAUCAAUCUAAAGUCAAUACAGGAUUUCAAUAGGAUCAUUAACGAAGUACUCAUUCACUAUAUUCCCCAUAGGAAUAGUUAAGGGCAAUUGCUGGGCACGUCCAACACCUUAAUUGGGUUUGUUGUUAUAGAAAAUCCAUUGGAGAAAACUCGAUAGAGUUUGAGGGCAGUCAAAAUGAGACCUAAACAUAAUUGUAUUUGUAAGCAUCCACAAUUAAUGCUGUCCUAAAAGAACUUGAUCCAAGCUCCACCAUUGUAGGCCAGUCAAGCAAAUUAAAAUAUCUCAUCAAAUUAAGAUGCCAAAGCAAGUCCAUACCUACUCAAAAUUGUAGUGAAACAUACUUCUUAUGCAAGUAUGCAUGUACAGAUUUACAAACUUGCACAUACCCGAACCACCUACACCAGACCCACACACUGCAUAGAAAUUGUUAGAAAUAUGUUACAGCAAAUUUAGAAUAUUCCAACUCAUGUCUACGAUGUUAAUUAGUUAGUGAUUAGCCUGUUAAUUAGCAAAUUAGUCAGUUAAUUACUCAUCUUUUUUCUCUAUAAAUGGAGUCAUUGCAUUCAUUAAUAAAUCAUUGGAUUGUGGAAUUUCAAUCCCUCCUUUCAUGGAGGUUUCUUCUCCUCCAAUCAUGGAGUGUCUCUUUCUUCUGCUUUAUGGAGUUUAAUUUUAUUCAAUAAAUUCUAACAUGGUAUCAGAGCAAGGUGCUCUCAUCUAGAAAACUAUGGCGAAAUUCCCUGCCGACGGUUCUGCCUCAACAAUAUCAGGUGCAGAAACAGAGGGAAAUUCCUCAAUUGGUCAGAAUGCAUUCGAGAAUUCCUCGUUUCAACUUACUGUUGAAAAAUUAAACGAGAAAAACUACCGUGAAUGGGCCAGUCGAUUAAACUGGUGAUUGAUGGAAAAGGAAAGUUGGGCUACCUUACCGGCGAGACAAAGAAACCGGCCGACACAGCUCUGCGGCAACGAUGGCACUCCGAAAACUCCAUUGUCAUUGCUUGGCUAGUGAACUCGAUGAAGCCCCCUAUAGGGAAAACCUAUAUGUUCCUUCCUACAGCGAAAGAUGUAUGGGAUGCUGUAAAAGACACCUACUCAGACGCCGAAAACACUUUCCAAAUCUUUGAAUUGAAAACCCGCUCAUGGCAGACCAAACAAGGGACACGAGAUGUCACAGAAUAUUUCAUGGAAAUGACAUCUCUUUGGCAAGACCUCGACCUCUGCAGUGAAGAAGAAUGGAAGUGUCCCGACGACAUCACCUUGUACAAGAAGAAGCAAGAAAACGAAAGGGUCUAUGAAUUUCUUGUCGGCCUGAAUCGCGAACUCGAUGAAGUUAGAGGCCGAAUUUUGGGACGCCGCCCACUGUCUUCCACUCGAGAGGUGUUUGCAGAAGUACGCCGCGAAGAGGCUCCAUUAUAAAAAGAACGGGCCAAAUUUGGGCCAAAAAUUGAACAUAUUAAUGGGCUUGUUAAUGGCAGUGAUGGUUUGGGCUUUUCAAAAGGAAUUAUAAAUGGGUCAACCCAAAAACAAUGGGGUCGUCCUUGGUGCGAGCACUGUCGUAAGUCGGGUCAUAAAAUAGAUACAUGCUGGGAAAUUAAUGGGAAGCAACUGGAGACCUAAGCUAAACUCGAGGAGUCGGGGACAUCAGGUUGAAACGAAAAACAAUUCAACUGCAAGCAAUACAUUUAAUUCCGAGCAAUUGGAACAACUCUAUCAACUAUUUGCAAGCUUUCAAACCUCCGGUCAGUCUUCUUCUCCAAAAGACCCCUCUAGCUCACUAGCCCACAAAGGUAUCUUUCCUAGAGCCUUAAAUACUUCGAAAUAUAAAAAUGCUUGGAUUAUUGACUCCGGAGCAUCUGAUCAUAUGACGGAUUCGUAUCAUCUAUUCAAUUCAUAUUCAACUUGUCCUAGCAACAUCCGAGUUAAAAUUGCAGAUGGCUCACUUUCAUCUGUUGCAGGAAAAGGGAGUAUUCGAACAUCUGAGUCCUUAACAUUGGAUUCUGUUCUCCAUGUCCCAAAUUUAUCUUGUAACUUAUUAUUUGUCUGUCAAGUAACAAAAAUUUCCAAUUGCUCUGCUAAUUUCUUUCCAUCUUAUUGUGUCUUUCAAGACCUUUCAUCGGGAAAGACGAUUGGCAAUGCUAAAGAAUGCGAGGGAUUAUACUACUUUGAGGAAGCUGAUGUGAGUUCACGAGGUCAACUUUCACAAUGUAAUUCUACAUCUACCUUUAAAGAUAGAGAAAUCUUGUUAUGGCACAAUAAAAUAGGUCAUCCUAGCUUACUAUAUUUAAAACGUGUUUGUCCUUCAAUUUUCAUGAAUAAAACACCUAUUGAGUUUCAAUGUGAAAAUUGUGAGUUUGCAAAACAUCAGCGUACAUCUUUUCCAAAAUCAAUAUACAAACUAUCCAAACCAUUUGCUAUGAUUCACAGUGAUCUAUGGGGACCUUCCCACACCCCUAACCGUACCCAAACAAAGUGGUUUGUCACAUUUAUCGAAAAUCACACUCGAGUAUGUUGGGUUUAUCUGCUGAAAGAAAAAGCCGAUGUUCGAUCAAUAUUUAUGAACUUUCAUUCCAUGAUCCUGACGCAAUUUCAAACACAAAUUCAAAUUAUCCGCACUGACAAUGGCACAGGAUAUUUUAAUGCUACUUUGCAAGACUAUUUAAAAAAAUAUGGAAUAGUCCACCAAAGUUCAUGUGUCCAUACCCCACAGCAAAAUGGGGUUGCUGAACGAAAAAACAGGCACAUACUAGAAGUAGCUCGUGCCUUAAUAUUUACAAUGAAUACGCCAAAAACAUUCUGGGGAGAUGCAAUUCUAACUUCUACUUAUCUAAUAAAUUGAUUGCCCAGUCGGACCCUCUCUUUUGACUCACCUUUAAAAAAACUCCAAAAACGCUUCCCAACAUCCCAUCUUAAUUCAAACCUACCCUUAAAAGUGUUUGGUUGUACUGCAUUUGUACACAUUCACUCCCAACACCGCAAUAAACUUGAACCACGUGCCAUUAAAUGCACGUUUAUUAGGUACUCUCCCACUCAAAAAGGUUACAAAUGUUAUGAUCCUUUGGGUGAACGGGUUCUCGUGAGUCUCGAUGUCACUUUUUUUGAAACCACACCUUACUUCUCAAAGCCUUCUCUUUAGGGGGGAAACUUGAACGAAGAUCGGCUCUCCAAUCAUGAAUUCUUAGACUUUGAUCUCAACCCUUCUGACCUCACACAUACUAAUCCUCCUAGUGUGUCAUAUACAGAAGAAAACUUGAAUUCAAGGGGAGAUGGAGAAAAGCAAAGUGACAAGGAGAUACUAGUUUACUCACGAAGGCCUAAAUCAAAGUAUAAUGAAACCCUCGCAACUGAAGCACCAAAAGAGUCGGAACCGGUGAUAGGAACUGAUAAAGAUCCUUUCAACAAUCCAAGUGAUGAUCUACCUAUUGCUCUCAGAAAACCAACCAGAUCAUGUACUUUACAUCCUAUUUCAAAAUUUAUGUCUUAUAGUGCUCUAUCUACAAAAUUUCGUGCCUUUACGACUAAUCUUGACAAAACAGAAAUUCCAAGAAAUAUUCAAGAAGCCCUUGAGUCACCCAAAUGGAGAGAGGUGGUAAUGGAGGAAAUAAAAGUUUUAAAGAAAAAAGAAACGUGGGAAGUGGCAAACCUACCAAAAGGCAAGAAACCUGUCGGCUGCAAAUGGGUUUUCACUGUGAAGUACAAGGCAGACGGGACAAUAGAACGUUACAAAGCUCGUUUAGUUGCCAAAGGGUAUAUUCAAACCUAUGGCAUUGACUACACAGAAAUAUUUGCACCAGUGGCAAAAUUAAAUACAAUCCGAGUUCUCUUGUCGUUAGCAGUGAAUUUAGACUGGCCACUUCAACAGUUGGACAUUAAGAAUGUGUUUCUCAAUGGGGAACUAGAAGAAGAAGUUUUCAUGAAAAUACCACCAGAUUUCAACAGGUUAAAUAAGGAAAAUCAAGUGUGUAAACUCAAGAAGUCCUUAUAUGGACUAAAACAGUCACCUAAAGCAUGGUUUGAUAGAUUUGCAAAGGUACUGAGAACUCAAGGAUAUCAGCAAGGACAAUCGGAUCACACCAUGUUUUACCAUCAAUCAGGAAAUGGAGCAAAGACUAUCUUAAUUGUUUAUGUGGAUGAUAUCAUUUUGACAGGAGACAACAUAACUGAAAUAGAAAGAUUAAAGCAGUGCCUAGCAACUGAAUUUGAGGUAAAAGACCUCAGACAAAUGCGAUAUUUCCUAGGAAUGGAAAUUGCAAGAUCAAAAACAGGUAUCAGUGUUUCCCAAUGAAAAUAUAUUCUUGAUCUGCUAACCGAAACCGGUAUGUUAGGAUGCAAACCAAGUGAUACACCUAUUGAGGCAGGAAAAGUGAAAAAGGACACUCGAAAACCCGUGAAAACAGACAGGUAUCAAAGAUUAGUCGGUAAAUUGAUCUACCUCUCACACACUAGACUCGACAUUGCUUUCGCCGUCAGUAUGGUCAGUCAGCAUAUGCACUCUCCUAAAGAUGCUCACCUAAAAGCAGUAUAUAAAAUUCUCAGAUAUCUAAAAGGAACUUCUGGAAAAGGUCUGUUUUUUGGAAAACAUCAAAAGAAAGGAGUAAAAAUAUUCAUAGAUGCCGAUUGGGCUAGAUCCAUAGAAGACAGAAAAUCAACUACUGGCUAUUGCACAUUUGUGUGAGGAAAUAUGACAACUUGGAGAAGUAAGAAACAAAAUGUAGUAGCCAGAAGCAGUGCUGAAGCUGAAUUUAGAGCCGUUGCACAAGGAAUAUGUAAAGGACUUUGGAUAAAGAAACUCUUGGAGGAACUAAAAGUCGGAGUCGAGUUUCCAAUCAAACUCUAUUGUGAUAAUAAAGCAGCUAUUAACAUCUCUCUCAAUCCAGUACAACACGAUAGAACAAAACAUGCGGAAGUGGACAGACAUUUUAUCAAAGAAAAGGUGGACAAUGGAAUCAUUUGUAUGACAUACAUUCCUACAAAAGAACAAACCGCAGAUUUAUUUACAAAAGGGUUAUCCAGGCCAACAUUUGACGACCUUAUUAGCAAGUUAAACAUGAUCAACAUUUACAGUUCAACUUGAGGGGGAGUAUAGAAAAGGUCCGAGUAUGGAAAGAAGACAAGAUAUAGUAAUUAUAAUCAAUUAGUGAUUGUAAUCUUUUAGUUUUUUGGUAGAAUAGUUUUAUUCCUAUUUUAGAAGAUUAGUUUCCUUUUCCUAUUACUCGUCCUGUGUAUAUAUACUUACUGUAAUCAAUGUUUUUACUAUUGAAGAAUUAGAAAUUUCUUUCAAUCUCGUUUUCUUCAUGGUAUUAGAGCAGAGUUGUUCUUGCUGCUGUGUUUUUCUGAGAUUUUCAUCCCCUCUUUCUGUGUUCUGCACAAAUGAAAGCAGAUCUCUAAUUUCUUCUAUUUUAGCAUAAUUCUGAAAAGUGUUAUUCUAGUAAAAGUUCAGUUCCCAUCUUCGAAAAAUGGCGCCAGCAACAUCAAAAUUCGUCCUUGAUUCUCUGCAAUAAAAUUUCUCCUCUUUGAGAUUUUGGUUCUCUGAACUUUCAAAGAUCUUUAUGGAUGGUCAAAGCCUACACUAAAUCUUGUUUCUCCAUCAGAUCUGGUGAAAUCUGAAGACCCGUCAGUUUGCUACCAUUGAGAACAUCAUCCCUUUCUGCAAUAUGAACCUUACCAAGUUUGUCGUGCAAAACAAGUCUCCUCAACUCUGAAAACAUUGUGCACUGGCACGAAAUGGAAUGGGAAUGGAAUGUCUGGUGAUGUUUCGUGCUGAUCUAAUGGAUGCUCAUAUGUAUGGAUUCAAGAGAUUUGUUCUGCAAGGCUAUUCAUCAUGGUUUUUCCCUCCAGUACUCUUUAAUCUUCAAGAUGAACUAUUGUUGAUAUCUAUAGUCCAUCUUGAGGGGGUGUGUUAGAAAUAUGUUAUAUCAAAUUUAGAAUAUUCCAGUUCAUGUCUAGGAUGUUAAUUAGUUUGUGAUUAGCCUGUUAAUUAGCAAAUUAGUCAGUUAAUUACUCAUCUUUUUUCUCUAUAAAUGGAGUCAUUGUAUUCAUUAAUAAAUCAUUGGAUUGUGGAAUUCCAAUCCCUCCUUUCAUGGAGGUUUCUUUUCCUCCAAUCAUGGAGUGCCUCUUUCUUCUGCUUUAUGGAGUUUAAUUUCAUUCAAUAAAUUCUAACAGAAACGUACAACAAUCAACCCACAAAAUACAACACAACAUUUUUUGCACCUGUUUGGUGCCUCAAGUCAAUGUCAACGAUUAACUUUAUCCACACAUUUCACGGAGCCACUACUUUUCAACCACUCAUUUCAUCUACUUUUAUCAAAUCUAUAAAACCAAACAGGGCAUCAUCAAUCAGAACCCCCCCCCCCCAAACACACACACACACAAAAGAAGAAGAAAAGAAAAGAAAGUAAGAAAAAACUACUAAUUACAUUUCUCAGAAAAAUGAAAAAAAUUGAAGAAAUCCGAUUCAUAUAUCCCCACGCAAACAAUGCAUAUGCAUAACUUAUAUAACUUUAAACUAAAUAGACAAAACUUACUAGCAGGUGGCAUGGGGGGCGGCGGAAUUACAAAAUCCGGCGGAAGUUCAGGAACUGAAAUAUGGAGAAAUGGAGCUACCGCUACAGGACGAGCUUCGGAAACUGGAAGUGCAGCGCUUGGCACAAUCACAGGAACUGUAGCAGCUGUUGAAGGUUUCUCCCAUGGCGGAUUUGGAACAACAGCUUGAACACCAGCACACGGAUGAGCGGCAGAGCUAGAGGACGAGGGCUGCAGGUACUGUUGUUGGCCAGACUGAGAGGGUUGGGCAAUGAAGUGGUCGCAAGCAAUUCGUGCCACCAGAUUUUGAGCCUCUUUAGAAGAUUUGCACUGAUUCGGAGUCUCGAAAGCUUGCCCAUUAACGUUCACGACGCCUUUGAAUCGAGGCAUAUGAUCUGGGCCAUCUCUCGCCGUCGUAUACUCCGGCAAACUCCAGCCCCUCUUCUGGCACAAUUCUUGCAAUUUGCAUUUGUACAUUUUCACUAGAAAAUUGAAGAAUUUAGGUGACUUUUGGGUUAGGAAACGUAUUUAAUAUAGCCAUAUUCAAGUACAGUAAGCUUCACUUUUGAAGAAUCUAACCCUCUGAAUUUUAAAUCUAACAUCUGAAUUUUAGCUUUUUUCCACGUGGUGAGGUGGAAUAAUACUUGAACUGAAACCAUUAGUAUAUAAAAAAAAAUAUUAAGUCCAUAUUUGAUGAAUAUUGAAAUAAAACGUUUAGCAGAUUUUAAUAAAUUUUAUGAAAUUUGUGGUUAAAAAAUUAUAAAUUUCAUUAAAUAUAUGAUUAAAGUAAAUUAUUAAUUUUAACUUUGAUAAAAAAUUAGAUUAUUAUUUCUAACAACCAUGGGCUAAAUAAAAGAUAAGAAAACAUACAUGUUUAUUAAAAAUGUAAAAUAAACAGUCAAAAUAGAGAGUAAUGUUACGUUGGAGUGUAUAAAAGAUUUUACUACGCUCUUUAUAGUUGUCAGUUCGAGAUAUACUUAAAGAUAAAAAAUUUACUACUUGUUUGAGAUAAAUUUUCUGAGAAAAGAUUUCGUAAAAGAUUAAUUUUUUUAAGAUUGUGCAGUUAAAAAGUUAUGGAUCCAUAUGCAAAAUUAUUUUAUUCAAAAAAAUACGAGAUUAAAAAUGAGGUUGGAAAAAAAUGAGUUUUAAAAAAUCUUUACUAAACGACAACUUAAUAACCAUAUGUUUUCUAAUCAAAUUCUAUCAAUUAUAUGUUGAUAGCAAAAAUAGUAAGAUUUUUAUUAGUACAAGAGUGUCAACUAAAAUUUUAAAGAAUUUUUUAAAAGAUUAUAAAAUUUUAAAGAAUUUUGUGAAUUUGAAAUCCUCGAGAAUUUUAUUAAAAAUGAUGAAAUUUUCAAAAGAGCUUAUUGUAUGUUUUUAAACUUGAAAUUCAUCCAAAUAAUUUGAAAUCAUUUUAUUAAUUUUUGUAAAUUCAUAGAAUAUCAAGAUGCUAGAUUUCAAAGGAUUUCAUUAAUAUUUAUUAACAAAAUUCUCUUGAUUUAUGGUCUAUUACCGAAAGAAAUCGUGGCCCAUGAAGAUCCAGAUCCAGUGAUGUCCAAGUUUUCAGAAUAGCCAGCCCAAAAUCAGAUCAACACAUGUUUGGCAAAGUUUACAAGUGUUUAUAAGCAGAUUAAACUGCAUUUUCUAUCCACCAUUGCUCAACUUUUACCUGCUUAUCAUCCACACAUCUCGUUGGAUACAUAGCUUAUAUACAUUACUAAACGGGUUGUGCAAUGGGUACAUUGAGAGUGUCAUAAGGGUGUCCAUAUCCCCGCACCCCCCCAAUGGGGAGGGUGCCUGGGGGCCAUCAAUCUGAAGAAUUUCUUCAAUUUUUUCAUUCAUUGAGGGAAUAAUCCUUACUAAACAAGCACAAUCUGAAGAAUUUCUUCAAUUUUCAUUCAUUGAGGUACAUUAGUCAGAGCUAGGAGCCUAUCAAACAAAUUGAUAGACAUGUCACUGGACAUACCGAAUAUAUUUUGAAAACGAAAAAAAAAAAAAAAAAAAAAAAAAAGGAACACCAGAAAAUGCGAAAAAAAGAAAAGAGAGAGAGCCAUUGGAUAGAUUACACCUACUUAACUUUAUCAUGAACCACAGUUAUUGAAGCAUUAGAAAUAUUUCCUUGAAAUGUAAAAAAACAAUAAAUGGAGCAAGAUUUCAGACUGCUGAUGAGCCAUAAACCAGUCAUUUGGCACUUGCAAGCUCAGUGCGGAGGAGCUUGGCAGCAGCAACCAUGUUUUGGAGUGCUGGCUUCACUUCAGCGUACUUGCGAGUCUUAAGACCACAGUCGGGGUUGACCCACAAGAUAUUGGUUUCGAGCACAGCAAGCAUCUUAUUAAUUCUGUCGGCAAUUUCUUCGGUUGACGGAAUUCUUGGGGAGUGGAUAUCAUAUACACCAGGUCCAAUUCCAGCACCAUACUUCACUCCCUCACGGAAGACUGAAAGGAGCUUCUCAUCAGAACGAGAGUUCUCGAUGGUGAUGACAUCAGCAUCCAUGUCAAUGAUAGAGUGAAUGAUAUCAUUGAAAUUUGAGUAGCACAUGUGGGUGUGGAUCUGUUGGUUACAAAAGAUGAUAUCAUUAAUAGCCCAACGUGGCUGCCCAAUUAAAGACACCGAAAGUUUGAAUCAUAGGUAAUGGAAGUUAAAGGACGUGAGGAAAUCACCUGGGUGGUGUCCUGUACUCCGACGUUGGUAAUUCUGAAAGAGUGAACAGCCCAGUCCAAGUAGAAAGCAUGCUCGGCUUUCCUAAGAGGCAAACCCUCUCUCAAUGCAGCCUCGUCAAUUUGAAUAACAGUGAUGCCUGCCUUCUCAAGAUCCUCCACCUCGUCCUUUAUGGCCAAAGCAAUCUGAUAGCAUGUUUCAAAUCUGCAAACCAAGAAUGUAUCAAGUUGAUUUUCUUCUGAAUCAUGAGAAAGACAGACCAAGGUGUUCCAUUUAAUUUUUCCCCAAAAAGAACUACGGGUGAUGGACAGAAAGGGAUCGAGUAGUUCCUAUAUACCUUGGUUGGUCAUUUCGGACAAAAGACCAGUUGAGAAUGGUAACAGGGCCAGUAAGCAUUCCCUUCAUUGGGCGCUUGGUCAUGGUCUGGGCAGCAGUGGACCAGAAGACAGUCAUUGGGUUGGGACGACUCACAUCACCAUAGAUGAUCGGUGGCUUCACACAGCGAGAUCCAUAAGAUUGAACCCACCCAUUAGCAGUGAAGGCAAAACCAGACAACUGCUCUCCAAAGUACUCAACCAUGUCGUUCCUCUAAAAUGUAGAAAUCCAAAAAAGGUAAAGAUAUUAGGUUAUAUAUGAUGUUAAGAUUGGCUAUUAAGGAUAAAUAAAGUAACCAUUAUAGAAUUGAUAAACAGUAGGAGAUUUGUGUUUAUUAGUUUUGUGGACAAGCACCCCAUUUUAAUUACCUCUGGCUCUCCAUGAACCAGAACAUCAAUGUCAAGCUCUUCCUGAAGCUUGACGACUUUGCUGAUUUCCUCUUUGAUAGCCUUAACAUACUCCUCCUCGGAGAUCCUGAAAGAUAGAAUCAUAUUUUUUAAACAAUAACAUAAAAGAACAAAUCAACUACACAGUUAAAUGCAGGUAGAAAACACUCACUUCUUGGCCUUGUAUUCACGGCGAACUCUUCUGAGUUCUAUGGUCUGAGGGAAAGAACCAAUAGUGGUUGUUGGGAGAAUUGGAAGGUUUAGCUUCUUUUGUUGAGCAUCAAGUCUAGCACUAACAUUGGUAGCACGACGGUGGUCAGAACCCCUCAAAGCUGCAGCCUGGGUAACCGCAAGUAGUAUUGAUCAGUAAGACAGGACAUUUCGGCAGCAAAUGCAAAAUUCUAAAGUAGAAAUCAUAAAGAAUAAUCACUUACAGCCUUUUGAACAGCUUCAUUGGUGACCCUUGGAGAGUUUUUGCGAGAUGCCUGAGCAGCAGCAUUAGCAGAGAAGAAUGCCUGAAAGGUAAAGAGCAACAGUCAAGUGCAGUCAUUAACAUGCCUCCCUCCUGCAAAUUUAAUAUAGACUGAAAAGUGAUAUGUACCUCAUCCUUCUGACCAGCCAGUGCCUUUGCCAAAGCAUUUACUUCAACAACUUUUUGGGCAGCAAAUGCAAGCCAUGAUUUGAUUUCUGUGUCCAGCUUAGUCUCGUUAACUAGAUCAACAGCAGUGUGGAGAAGCGAGCAGGAGGUGGAGACAACAAGCUUUUCUGCAUCACAAAACAGAGGAAAAUUGACCCUCUGUAGAAGCGAAAUUCUAAAAUAGUGACGCAACUUUGGGCUACGUACCAUUUCCCACAAUUCCUUCCAGAGAUUUCAGGGUAAUGAGAGAUGCAUCUAGAUCAUUAGCCCAAAUGUUCCUUCCAUCAACCACUCCGGCAAACAGGUACUUCCCAGAAGGGAGUCCACCCUUUAUUAAAUCAAGAGUCUUGGUUCCACGAAUCAAGUCAAAACCAAAGGCAGUGACUCCCUUUAGGGCAGUAAGGGUUUUGAAAGCAUCAGCAGGGACAUCAGCAAAGUAGGUUUCAACCAGGACAUUAAGGCCAGAAAGUGAUGAUUCAAGUUCAACAUAGGCCUUAGUGAAUGCUUUCAGUUGGUGAGAAUCAAGAUCCAUCACUAGGGUGGGCUCGUCAAACUGAAUCCAAGAGGCACCAGCUACCUUCAACUCAGCGAUUACUUCCCUAUGUGCAUGUCAUACAUUUUAAUAUCAACCUCGGAAAUUAAAAUGAAUAACACCAGUAAUAAAACUGGAAAAGUUGAGCAUUUCCUACUUGUAGAUAGGAAGGAUUUUGUCAAGAAGAGAAAGAAGAGGGAAUGUUUUCUCCACGCCCUUGGCAGGUUUAGAGAGUAGCAAGUAUGUGACUGGGCCAAUAAGUACUGGAACUGUAUCUACACCAAGCUGCAUACAAGAAGUGUCAAAUUGAUCAGGUUCCAGUAAUUAGAUUGUAAAUCUAACUAAUUUAUAUAACAAAGAUACAUGGCACAAUGCAACAUUAUGUUAAUAGAAUGUAAGGUAUUGAAGAUUCCAAACGGUAGCCAUAUCACUGUUGGCAUUUUGUCAUAACAAAAGAUGUGGUCAAAGGUUCAUGGAUACACUAUUACAAAUUGAAAAACUCGUACACCUUUCAUUUUUUUUAUCUAAUCGUAAAAUUUUAGUACCACCAAGUUUAAAGACUAUAUAGGAUCGGACGAGACAACAAUGGCUAGUCAAGUAGCAUAAACAACAUACCGACUUAGCUUCUUUGUAUUCAGUCACAGCCUUGUGAGAAGCAUAGGAGAAUUUCACAUCAGGUCCUAAUUCGGGCACAAUGAAGUGGCUGAAUUUAUAAAUGAACCACACUGGUCAGUACUUCAAUGUCACAGGUAUAAUAAAGAAAAAGAAAAAAAUUGAGAGGUUUAACCAUUCACUUACUAGUUGGUGUCAAACCACUUGGUCAUUUCCAUAGCAGGAACAGAGGCAUUUCCUCUGGCCAUGGAGAAGUAAGUGUUGAACCCAAUCUCACCACCAUUCCAGUUGUACCUUGUGGGGACAGCACCAAGCAUUGCGGUUGUGUCGAGUACCUGAUCAUAGUAAGAGAAUGUGUUGCUAGGAAUAUACUUGAUACCAGCAUCAGCCAUCUGCUUCCAGAUAGAUGAUCUGAGAUCAGCUGCCACCUUUUGCAACUCCUCGGCACUGCUCUUUCCAUCCCAGAAAGAUUCCAGAGCAAACUUCAAUUCUCUCUUGGGGCCCAUGCGGGGAUAUCCAACAAUAUGAGAUGCCAUCUUUCUAGUUCACCAAAAUUCAAUCAAUCAAAUAAUAUUAGAACCAUAAAACAAUAAAACUUGAUUGUUGACAUAUUCAAUUUUACAUCUUCAAAAAAAUCACAGGCAAGAGGACCAUGAAAAACGUUAUAUGCUAGAUCCUUAACUCUAAACAAAAAGCAAGAUAACAUUCAUAAAUCCGUUUAAUUUAAAUUUUAAUCAGUAAUCAAAUAAAGAUCUCGCCAACUAAAAACUUCAUUUAUCACAACGAUGUAUAUCUGUCAUUACGUUAUGUCUUUCUUUGUACAGUCUUUUUGACGCUAUACAAAACAGGGUUCGCUAGAUUUAAAUCAUGCUAAGGUAAAAUCACAUGUACGUGCUGAAAAAAUGAAAUUGUGAUGGAUUGAAAAUUCAAGACAAUAACACUUGAUUACAAUGAAAUAGCCCGGACUAACCAAACGUUAAAAUAUGCAGUAUAUUAAUUCAAUCAGAUCCAGCAACAUUAAAGAAAUUCCAGGUCCCAGUAGUGAACAACAACACGUGAUUACAAGGAAGUGCGAAGCAAUGCAGAUAGAUAGAACAGAAUUAAAUACACCCAAUAGCCACUUCAUGAGAGAUAUAUUCAGAUGGAAGUUCCUAAACACAGAUCUACAAGUUCCCAUAGCAUGUGCGAUCUAACCUUUAAAGUUUAUCACAGUACAUAAUUGUAUAUUACUGCAUCGUAAUGGAUUGGAACAACAGAAAAACACUAGAUCACGUCAUAUUUUCAAGUAGAAAUUCUUACAAGUAGAUCUAAGCAAUAUGAAACAAAAAUUCCAAAAGGGCACUCCAAGAACUACAGAUUGACUAACUUCAAAAAAGAAUAAACUAAAACAAUGGGAUCGAAAUGAGUGGACUCUGAAGAACGUGAGGGAACGGGAACCCGUACCUUUAGGAAGUGGGUGGUGGUCGCAAAUGAAGGUUCUGUUAGAGAGAUGGGCUGACGCGAGUUUGGAGAGAGGAUGAACGUGCUCAUUUUAUAGAGAAGGAAGGUCGGUGUCGUGGUAGGUCUGAGAGUUGAAUUUUGGGCAUUUUGCUGAUUACGGUGAAAUUGUGAGAGGGAGGGACGACGGUGACGCGCUUCCUGAGGAGUGUGUAGGGAACGGAGAAGUUGGUGUACCACCAACCCCGGGAAUUAGUAUAUCAAAUGUGGGAAAUCCACGUGUAGAGUUUAUGAUUUGAUUGGGGCCAUUUUCGUAAUUUGGUAUCUGUUCUUCUUUUUUUCUUUUUUUAUUAUUAUUGUAUUCUUAUCUUCGUUUUCAUUAAUUAGUAUAUAUAUUAUUUUCUGUAAUGAUUUUCCUCCAAAAAUUAUGUUUCAUGAUCCAAUUUAAUGGCAAAUAGCUAGUUGCAUUUUUAUAUUUAUUGUUUUGAUUUAUAAAAUUAUGAAGGAUGGAUACAUUUUUUACUUCCUUUUAAUAUAAUUUUUGGACAAAAUCGUUGUCAAGUUACAUUUUUGUUAUAUUUAAUUUUUUUCAAAAAAAAAAGUUGUUUACACACUCUUAGUGGACUUUGUAAACAAAAAUCAUUAACAAUAACAUUGUGCUAAUUAUCAGAAUGUUGAUUAAAAUGUUACGAACAAAGUUAAGUGUUAUAAGUAGUAAAGAUUUUUUUUCAUAAUCGGGAAUGUUCGGUCCAACUUAUGCGCAUUUCGACUAAUUUCACGAGAUUCUAAAGUUUACAAUCAGAUACUUACCUUAGUGGCUCAUGAAUUUGAACUGAUAUAAUUAGUAAAGAUUAAAAAUUUUUAAGUGUAAUUAAAAUGUGAAGCAAUAAAUAAAAAUUGAGGUAGGAAUGUAAUUUACAUGCACACAAUUCUAGAAAGCGUCUCUUGUUUGGUUCGUGGGGGUGAUUCUGACAGAAAAGUAAAAUUCAUGGUGGCAAAAGCCAAGAAUGUGUGGCUGGUACUGGCGGCGAUUGUUAGCCACCGCACCUCUUUGCAACUAUGGUCUACUAGAUUUCCAAAACUACCCUCUUUACUUUCAAAUGACUGCAGUUCCCACAUGUAAAUUAGGUAAGUGGGACCAUUUUAAAUAUUUUCUUAAAGAGGACGAAUUUCGUACGCGCAGAUGAUACUGGCCACCCCAAAAAUUGAUAUUUUCCCUGUCUUUAUUAUAAUUCAUAAUAAUAGCCACACAAGUUAAAAAUAAAUAAAUAACAAUAAUAACAAUUAUAAUAUUAUACACACACGCAAUUCGCACGUUGAGAUUAUAAAAAUUGGCACUAAUGUUAACCACAUGAAACAAAGAAUGAGUUAACUUCGUGCCAAGAUCGACUCGUAAUGUUUUUAAAAACGUCCAUGCCAUUUUCAUUGAUCAAGAAAUUUACGUUGAUGAGGUUGAAAUUAAGAAAGUCAUGUUGAAAUAGGAUUGAGGCUUUGUGAACUACUUAAACUUAUGGGUUGAAUUUGUUGAGACAUGAGCUAGAGGUUAAAAAAAUAAAAAUUUCUCAUUUGUUUACUGGAUUUGGGCUCUGAUUGAACUAUAGCUAAGUCCAACCCUUGACACCAUGCUGCGUGGCAUAACAUAUACCUAUCGUUUGAUAAAGAGAAAAAACGAACAUAGAUGUAAAAACUAUGAACUAAAAGUCAACCACUUUCUCAAGUUUCAAGUUAAAUUUUGCAAAUACAUAUGAAUUUUGGUCAAAUAACUAUGUCACUCUUCAAUUAUCACAAAAAUACUAUUAGAAUCUCACCAUCUAAGAUCAUGCUUUAUAAGUAAUCAAUAAAACAUAUUAAUGAAUGGUGGGUGGUUGCGUGAGUUCGUGGGUGGGUGGGUGGAUUUACAAUCAAUUAUUGAAAGCCACAGCCUCCUACUUCCAAUAUCUCUUGAGAGAUGAUCAUAUAAACUUGGAAAUUCAAUAAUUAUACCUUAAAAGAGAAUAUUAUAAUCCAAAAAGUUGAGAUAUGAUGGGGGAAUGGUGUUUAAAUUUAAGCAAAGUUGUAAUGAAGGUUUUUUCUCAUAGGUGGAAAGGGGUUGGUAAAGCUCAAUUAUAGAAUGAAAGUAGUAGUGGACGAGUUAUUUGUCUUUAUAUGUAAAAUAAUACUCUCGUAGUUGAAAUUUAGAAGCCAAUAAGGUUGUGGAGUUGAAGAAGUGAGCAUCCCUUAAAAUGUACAUGAGAAAGUCAAACACUUCCGACAAAACAUGUACAUCUAACCAUUUACGAUAUUUGUCCCUUCAUUUAAGAGUUGUUUAACAAAGGUUUUUAUAAAAGUUAUUAGCAGCUUUCGGUAAAAGCAGAUGUAAUAUGCUGUUGAAAAUUGAUAACAGUUGUGAAUCUCAUAAAGUGUAAAGUUAAAGUUGAAGUUUGACCAAUUGAACACUUGACAAGAACUAGUAUAAUGUGAGGGAAAUAUAAUGUUAUUUAUUCAUGGGCGGAUUCAAGAAAAUUUUUAAGAGGGCUAAUACUUAAUUAUUAUUAUUUUAUUUUUUUUAAAAGGUGAAUUGGGUUGGGGACAGGCUGUGUAUCCGCCAAUGCAUUUAUUGAUAUUGGAAAUAGAAAAUAAAGAUAUAGUAGUCUUGUUGUCGCUCGUUGGUGAAAGAUUCAGUAGUGGACAUUAACAUUGUUUAAAUCGAACAUGAUAAUGACAUCAAACUCUUUACUAAAAGAAAGUCCAAACUCCCCCAAUGGUGACUAGAAGUAGAUCAAGACUGCGUUAAUAAUUUGAUAUUGUCGUUUUCGCGCUCUUUUGAGGCUUUAAACCAUUCUUUUGAGCCGUUUCUACUUCUGAUUCAUUUCAACCUAAGAACUUCGUUCAACCUUUUGUCCAGAAACAUUUGAAUUCUCUGUCAGCAAAAGAUAAGAGGCAACCACUAGAAGCACAUCUAUGCUUCUGACUAUGUGGCAAGGAUUAAUUGUACUAGUGGUCACUCCAUAAUUGCAAUUAGGUCACUGAACUUCCAUCCAUAGCAAUCAGAUCAUGGAACUUCAAUUUAAUUACAAUUGGAUCACUUAAUUCAAUUACAAUCGAGUUAAUUUCAUAAUGAUAUACACAUUUAAGCAUUGGAGUCUUUUUGAGAGAAUUCUCCAAUCCAAUUUCCUAACUCCCUAUUGCUUUCAAAUGAAAGGACGACUGAUUUAGAGUGAAGUGUAAAAGAAAAACCUUCCAUUAAAUUUAUUAUUUAAUAAGUGUUUUUAACUUAUGAAUUUCAUAAGUUGUAUUACUGUAUGUGGUGGAUACGAUGAUAAGUCCACUUGAAUGUUCAUGUCUACAAACGUUAGUUUAACGGUUGAUUAAGCGUGUCUUUUACAUAGAUUGAAGGAAUAUGAAUAGAAGGAUUUAAUCGCAAUUAUAGAUCACUACAAUUUGAAGACCUUGAUGUUGUUGCUUGGCCAUUUAGUAUGUUAAAUAAAUUGUACUAAAACACGACAAAAUUUUUAUGGUCUUCUAUUGAGUUAGCUACAAUUUAGUGAAUUUCUUCAAACACGAUUAAAAUCGUUAUAAAAUUCAAUUUUGAAAUAAUUAUAUGGUGAGAUGUGAACAACUAUUUUUAGUCUUUUCUCAAACGAGAAAAGAUCAUUAAUAAGGCUAAAUUGAAACUUGGGUAGCUUAUUGUCAACUUUGCAUCGGUACGCUUGUCCUCCGAGACAUUUUCAUCU
Molecule: long non-coding RNA, 31433 nt
Filed under: Olea europaea (common olive)
Lineage: Eukaryota; Viridiplantae; Streptophyta; Magnoliopsida; Lamiales; Oleaceae
Description: long non-coding RNA (OEUR_LNC003292)
Source: RNAcentral